GUCAUUCCUUAUAACCAGUUACCUCCGUUGAGACUUGGUCGGUACGGCGCACGUCCUACUUCCGGGAUACCCAGCAUUUGACGAAAAUAUGGUCUCUUUUGGGAAGGUGCACACCUUCCAACUAUCAUACCAUUCUUAUUCGUAGCCGAUUGAAGCACGGUCGUCGGCGCCAUUA
Molecule: ribosomal RNA, 175 nt
Filed under: uncultured bacterium
Lineage: Bacteria
Description: partial 16S ribosomal RNA
Source: RNAcentral